This 1014-nucleotide ribosomal RNA is filed under the name Triticum aestivum (bread wheat). RNAcentral's name for it is "partial small subunit ribosomal RNA". The record is from RNAcentral. Lineage: Eukaryota; Viridiplantae; Streptophyta; Magnoliopsida; Poales; Poaceae.
AUGAUCAUAACCUUGGAAGAGCUAGAGAAGGCAACAAACAAUUUUGAUAAAGCUCGUGAGCUUGGCGGUGGUGGGCAUGGUACUGUGUACAAAGGGAUCUUAUCAGACCUCCACGUCGUAGCCAUCAAGAAACCAAAGAUGGUGGUUCAAAAAGAGAUCGACGAGUUUAUUAAUGAGGUUGCUAUCCUAUCACAGAUUAAUCAUAGGAAUGUAGUAAAACUCUAUGGUUGUUGCCUUGAAACGGAAGUUCCAAUGUUGGUCUAUGAGUUCAUAUCCAAUGGAACACUUUACGAUCAUCUUCACAUCGAAGGACCAAGGUCAUUGUCAUGGGAUGAUAGGCUAAGGAUAGCAAUUGAAACUGCCAAAUCAUUAGCCUAUCUUCACUCCAUGGCUUUAAUACCUAUCAUCCAUAGAGAUAUCAAGUCCUCUAACAUACUUUUGGAUGAUACCCUAAUAGCAAAGGUAGCAGACUUUGGAGCUUCAAGAUACAUUCCAUUGGAUAAAUCAGGUUUAACAACUAUGGUGCAGGGUACACUAGGAUAUCUAGACCCCAUGUACUUCUACACUGGGCGUCUCACAGAGAAAAGUGAUAUUUACAGCUUCGGUGUUAUGCUCAUAGAAUUGAUGACCAGAAAGAAACCAUUUUCCUAUAUGGCUUCUGAAGAUGGUCUUGUGGCACAUUUCGUUACCUUGUUUGCAGAAGGCAAUUUGUCACAGAUAUUGGAUCCACAAGUUCUGAAUGAGAGUGGCAACACAAUUGAAGAAAUUGCUACAAUUGCAGUAGCGUGUGUAAAAUUGCGAGGAGAGGAACGUCCAACCAUGAGACAAGUGGAGCUGAGAUUGGAAGGCGUUCAAUCACCCGAUGAACAUGUCAUGGCGGUGGUUGGGGAAUUUGAAGCAAAUGGUAUUGACAGGAGUUCUCUGCUAACCAGAGAUGAAAGAAGCACAGAGGGAUUGACCAGGCAAUACAGUAUGGAAGAGGAGUGCAUAUUGUCUUCUAGAUAUCCGCGGUAG